Molecule: unclassified non-coding RNA, 502 nt
Filed under: Hevea brasiliensis (rubber tree)
Lineage: Eukaryota; Viridiplantae; Streptophyta; Magnoliopsida; Malpighiales; Euphorbiaceae
Source: RNAcentral
GGUGGUCAAGGGUGACCAGUGGUGAUGAUAGAGUAAUGAGUAUAUGUUUAUAUAUUUUUAAGUUUCUUUAUAUUUUAAUAGCUUUGUCAAAGUCUUUGAUUAGGAAAAUAUUUUCUGUUGACUAAUUUUCUUAAGGACCCAAAGUGCUAGAAAAUAUGAAAAAUAUUUUUCAGGAAAAUAGCUUCCGUGAAACAAACGAUGUUUAAGACUAUUCAUAUUAUUUCUAGGAAAUUGUCUCAUUGAUUUUUCUCUUCUAGCUUCAAACUCUGCCUUCUUUCUACCAUCACCUUAAUUUCCACGAUAUUUAAUAAGCAUAGAAGUGAAAAAAAAAGAUCUAAAAGUUUGACAUUUUAUUGAUCAUGUUAACAGGUAAUAGUGAUAUGUAAAUGCCUUUAGCCAACUUCUUAUGACAUUAGUAUUUUAUAGGAAAAUAAGUUAGUUUUCAUUCCUUCCCUCUUUAUAUUUUCAUAAGAUUUUAUUCUUUUUGCCAUAUGUUUUUAUA